This 459-nucleotide ribosomal RNA is filed under the name Rhodococcus sp. JA13. Its description in RNAcentral is "bacterial SSU rRNA". It matches the Rfam family "Bacterial small subunit ribosomal RNA", at positions 35 to 510 of the family's 1533-position model. The record is from RNAcentral. Lineage: Bacteria; Bacillati; Actinomycetota; Actinomycetes; Mycobacteriales; Nocardiaceae.
GCUGGCGGCGUGCUUAACACAUGCAAGUACGAGCGGUAAGGCCCUUCGGGGUACACGAGCGGCGAACGGGUGAGUAACACGUGGGUGAUCUGCCCUGCACUUCGGGAUAAGCCUGGGAAACUGGGUCUAAUACCGGAUAUGACCUUCGGCUGCAUGGCUGAGGGUGGAAAGGUUUACUGGUGCAGGAUGAGCCCGCGGCCUAUCAGCUUGUUGGUGGGGUAAUGGCCUACCAAGGCGACGACGGGUAGCCGACCUGAGAGGGUGACCGGCCACACUGGGACUGAGACACGGCCCAGACUCCUACGGGAGGCAGCAGUGGGGAAUAUUGCACAAUGGGCGAAAGCCUGAUGCAGCGACGCCGCGUGAGGGAUGACGGCCUUCGGGUUGUAAACCUCUUUCAGCAGGGACGAAGCGAAAGUGACGGUACCUGCAGAAGAAGCACCGGCUAACUACGUGCCA